AGAGUUUGAUCAUGGCUCAGGACGAACGCUGGCGGCGCGCCUAACACAUGCAAGUCGAACGAGAGAGAGGGAGCUUGCUUCCUUGAUCGAGUGGCGAACGGGUGAGUAACGCGUGAGGAACCUGCCUCAAAGAGGGGGACAACAGUUGGAAACGACUGCUAAUACCGCAUAAGCCCACGACCCGGCAUCGGGAAGAGGGAAAAGGAGCAAUCCGCUUUGAGAUGGCCUCGCGUCCGAUUAGCUAGUUGGUGAGGUAACGGCCCACCAAGGCGACGAUCGGUAGCCGGACUGAGAGGUUGAACGGCCACAUUGGGACUGAGACACGGCCCAGACUCAUACGGGAGGCAGCA
Molecule: ribosomal RNA, 350 nt
Filed under: uncultured bacterium
Lineage: Bacteria
Description: bacterial SSU rRNA
Rfam family: Bacterial small subunit ribosomal RNA
Source: RNAcentral